RNAcentral lists this ribosomal RNA (260 nucleotides) under uncultured prokaryote. RNAcentral's name for it is "partial 16S ribosomal RNA". It matches the Rfam family "Bacterial small subunit ribosomal RNA", at positions 524 to 784 of the family's 1533-position model. The record is from RNAcentral.
UACGUAGGGGGCUAGCGUUAUCCGGAAUUACUGGGCGUAAAGGGCGCGCAGGCUGUAGAUCAAGUCAGCUGUGAAAUGUCUGGGCUUAACCCGGGCAUGCGGUUGAAACUGAUGUACUGGAGUGCUGUAGAGGCAAGUGGAAUUCCCAGUGUAGCGGUGAAAUGCGUAGAUAUUGGGAAGAACACCGGUGGCGAAGGCGACUUGCUGGGCAGCAACUGACGCUGAGGCGCGAAAGCCAGGGGAGCAAACGGGAUUAGAUA